CCCUUAGAAGUUCUGGGCUGCACGCGCGCGACACUGAUGCGCUCAAGGAGUUUACGACCUUGCCUGGAAAGGUUGGGUAAUCUUCUUAAAAAACAUCGUGAUGGAGCUAGAUUAUUGCAACUAUUAAUCUUCAACGAGGAAUUCCUAGUAAGCGCGAGUCAUCAGCUCGUGCUGAUUACGUCCCUGCCCUUCGUACACACCGCCCGUCGCUCCUACCGAUUGCGUGCUACUGAAUAAUUCGGACUGCAGCAACGUUCGGUUCCUGAAUGUCGCAGUGGAAAGUUUAGUGAACCUUAUCACUUAGAGAAAAAAAAAGUCGUAACA
This 324-nucleotide ribosomal RNA is filed under the name uncultured eukaryote. Its description in RNAcentral is "partial 18S ribosomal RNA". It matches the Rfam family "Eukaryotic small subunit ribosomal RNA", at positions 1470 to 1796 of the family's 1831-position model. The record is from RNAcentral.